CAGCAGCCGCGGGAAUACGGAGGGUGCAAGCGUUAAUCGGAAUUACUGGGCGUAAAGCGCACGCAGGCGGUCUGACAAGUCAGAUGUGAAAUCCCCGGGCUUAACCUGGGAACUGCAUUUGAAACUGUCAGGCUGGAGUCUUGUAGAGGGGGGUAGAAUUCCAGGUGUAGCGGUGAAAUGCGUAGAGAUCUGGAGGAAUACCGGUGGCGAAGGCGGCCCCCUGGACAAAGACUGACGCUCAGGUGCGAAAGCGUGGGGAGCAAACAGGAUUAGAUACCCGAGUAGUCCCUGUCUCUUAUAU
This 301-nucleotide ribosomal RNA is filed under the name uncultured bacterium. RNAcentral describes it as "partial 16S ribosomal RNA". It matches the Rfam family "Bacterial small subunit ribosomal RNA", at positions 509 to 809 of the family's 1533-position model. The record is from RNAcentral.